GGUGGCUCAGCGGUUAAGUGCUUGGCUGCUAACCAAAAGACUGGCGGUUCAAAUCCACCAGCCACUC
Molecule: transfer RNA, 67 nt
Filed under: Loxodonta africana (African savanna elephant)
Lineage: Eukaryota; Metazoa; Chordata; Mammalia; Proboscidea; Elephantidae
Rfam family: tRNA
About the family: Transfer RNA (tRNA) molecules are approximately 80 nucleotides in length. Their secondary structure includes four short double-helical elements and three loops (D, anti-codon, and T loops). Further hydrogen bonds mediate the characteristic L-shaped molecular structure. tRNAs have two regions of fundamental functional importance: the anti-codon, which is responsible for specific mRNA codon recognition, and the 3' end, to which the tRNAs corresponding amino acid is attached (by aminoacyl-tRNA synthetases). tRNAs cope with the degeneracy of the genetic code in two manners: having more than one tRNA (with a specific anti-codon) for a particular amino acid; and 'wobble' base-pairing, i.e. permitting non-standard base-pairing at the 3rd anti-codon position.
Source: Rfam by way of RNAcentral